AUGGUAGAACUUAAGUUGCAGUUAGUGGCACAGAGCAUCCUCAGUUUUCUGGGACGUCCCCAUCUCGGACGUGCUGUUCAGGGAUAUCUUGAUAUCUUGCCCCUCUUGAAGGAUUUAGACUUCUUAGGAGCUUCCAUCUGCCUCCUGGCCAGUCACCUGAAGUCCCUCGAGAGAGGCAAGAUUAACUACAUCGCAGGCCUAGACUCUAGGGGUUUCCUGUUUGGCCCCUCUCUAGCUCAAGUUCUGGGUCUGGGAUGUAUGCUCAUCUUGAAGGGUUGAAAGCGGCCAGGACCUACCUAUCAUGUCAGCCUCCUAUGCUCUGGAGUUUGGUAAGACUGAGCUGGAAAUCCAGAAAGAUGCCUUAGAACCUGGGCAGAAUGUGGUUGUUGUAGAUGAUCUCCUGGCCAUUGGAGGAGCCAUGCCUGAGGCCUGUUAGGUGCUGGGCCAGCCACAGGCUGAGGUGGUGGGGUGUGUGAGCCUGAUAGAGCUGAGCUCGCUGAAAGGCAGGUUCACCUAAGAUCCAUACCCUUCUCUCUCUUGCAGUAUGAGUAA
Non-coding RNA from Peromyscus maniculatus bairdii (prairie deer mouse), 552 nucleotides. The record is from RefSeq and is a predicted model, not a curated record. Lineage: Eukaryota; Metazoa; Chordata; Mammalia; Rodentia; Cricetidae.